UCCAACUAACAUUAGGAUUCAGAAAUCUUCAAAUUUACGCCUUUACGCCCUGGAGCUAGGAUUCAGAAAGAUGGUUAUAGCAAUGCCUCAUUUUGCUUCUUGCUAGUGACGCUUUUAGGUGCCAGUCUAUGUUAGUUAAUUAAUAAUCAUAAAUCUGCUUCAGAACAUGAGGAUUUCUGCACUUUAAUUAAUCUUCAUAUGAUGUGAACUUAUGUGUUAUCUAGUAGUCCUAGCAGUAGUGGAAGUGUUAGUUUCUGCGUACUCAGUGAGGGAAAUGGGAUGUCCCCUAAAACAAGUUCUUUUGGGACAUGAACAAGAACUAGGAAUACUUGUCUCAUUGUCUGUGAUCAAUCGAUCGUUGAUCAAGUUAUUCAUUUUUAUGUACCUUUGUUC
Molecule: small RNA, 393 nt
Filed under: Oryza sativa Japonica Group (Japanese rice)
Lineage: Eukaryota; Viridiplantae; Streptophyta; Magnoliopsida; Poales; Poaceae
Description: sRNA Os01g0147650
Source: RNAcentral